Molecule: non-coding RNA, 327 nt
Organism: Bemisia tabaci
Lineage: Eukaryota; Metazoa; Arthropoda; Insecta; Hemiptera; Aleyrodidae
Source: RefSeq, a predicted model, not a curated record
AACCAAAAAACAUCUUGGUCAUUGUCAUUCUUGAAUGCCUAACCUUUGCAUGAAAAUAAAUUUUGAUUUGCUCAUGGAAAAACUGAACAGAUGAGAGAGGUUCUAAGUAUCCAUUGCAACAAAAUUUCCGCAUCAUAUAUAAGGAGACGAGGCAGAAAGGAAACUUUGUCACAUCGCAUAUAUAUUUUUCACAAUCGUUGCGUACAUUGCCCGAUGGACAAUUCUCUUGCGUGGAUUUUUAUUUAAGUAAACAUUUUUAAGGCAGCCACACAUAAGGGUAGACAUUUUAAACGUAGAUAUUUUAUGGGUAGACUUUUUGUUGUAGAC